CUAUAAUGGAGAGUUUGAUCCUGGCUCAGGACGAACGCUGGCGGCGUGCCUAAUACAUGCAAGUCGAGCGGAAGUUGAAGAGCUUGCUCUUCAACUUUAGCGGCGGACGGGUGAGUAACACGUGGGCAACCUGCCCUGCAGAUCGGGAUAACUCCGGGAAACCGGUGCUAAUACCGAAUAGUUUGUCCUCCCUCCUGGGAGGAUACGGAAAGACGGUUUCGGCUGUCACUGCAGGAUGGGCCCGCG
RNAcentral lists this ribosomal RNA (246 nucleotides) under Planococcus glaciei. RNAcentral's name for it is "Planomicrobium glaciei partial 16S ribosomal RNA". It matches the Rfam family "Bacterial small subunit ribosomal RNA", at positions 1 to 235 of the family's 1533-position model. Lineage: Bacteria; Bacillati; Bacillota; Bacilli; Caryophanales; Caryophanaceae. The record is from RNAcentral.